This is a long non-coding RNA of Enhydra lutris kenyoni (northern sea otter), 1676 nucleotides long. RefSeq lists it as uncharacterized. The record is from RefSeq and is a predicted model, not a curated record. The transcript is spliced from 4 exons. NCBI's taxonomy places the organism in Eukaryota, Metazoa, Chordata, Mammalia, Carnivora, Mustelidae.
AGGCCGGGACCUGAGCCUGGGCGGCGGCGGCAGUGGCGUGCCCUUUGGGCAUCUGCCCUCUCCGGGAGAAGGGAAGUCCAGGACUGGGCCCACAGUCAACCUAGCAGGUUGGGCAAGUUAACCUGGGAAGGCGGAGUUCCCACACCCCGGAGCCCCAGGGAGGUCCUGGACCUAGGCCUAGCCACUGCAGAAGUUGGGUCUGACUCUACCCAGGGAGCCUGAAGAGGCCCAGGAGUAAACCCUGGAACCCAAACUGUGCCCUCCUGGUGACCUUGAGCAGAGCCCACAUCCCUUCCCGGUGUUUCUCAUCCAAGGAUUCUCAGCUUCCCACCCACCCAGCGGAGAGAGAAGUGCACUUCCUUGGCACCCUCUGCUGAGCCGGGCCCAACCAAAGAGCUCACCCAGGGCACCUGCCCUCUGACCCUGUGAUUCUGUUAGACUUGGGGACUGCCCGUUCUCAUCCCAGUGUGACCUUCAUGAGCAGAGCCCCCUGCUGGCCCACAAGGGACAUGGACCUUUGAUGAGAAACCGACCUUUGUUGUCUUAAGCCAGAGCAAGCCCAGUCAGUCUUUCCCAGGAUCUUAAGCACCCUCAAACACAACGAACGUGUGUCUAGCAGCUGCAGGGAAGCGGGCACUGUGUGCUGAGGACACGAGGGCUGGAUCGAGGCAUUCCCCACCACUAAGGAAGCAGCGGACGUGGUGGCUACAAUACUCAUCGAGCACAUCAUCCCGAGGUUCGGAUUGCCCCGGACCCUCCAGUCAGACAACGGACCCACCUUCAUCUCCAGUGUAACCCAACAGGUAGCUGAGAGCCUCAACAUAACCUGGACACUUCACAUCCCAUACCACCCACAGUCAUUGGGGAAGGUAAAGAAGGCCAACGGGCUGCUCAAAGCCCAACUCACCAAACUUACCCUAGAAACCCGCCUUUCCUGGCCCACACUUCUGCCCCUGGCUCUCACCAGACUCCGGGCUACACCCCGAGGGCCUUCGGGCUUAAGCCCAUUCGAAUUACUAUACGGCUGGCCCUUUCUUAUAAAUCAUAGCCUUCCGGCCAUUUCCCUGCCUCUUUUAUCCUAUCUACCUUACCUCACUCUCCUCCGAGCUCUCUUAAGGGCCCACGCCGACGCUGUCAUCCCAGCCCCAAGCGACCAUGCUUCCGAAGGGGAUAUACGGGAUCUAUCUCCUGGGGACCAGGUCCUUCUCAAAGCUUGCGGCCAGGCUCCUUACAAACCCGGUGGACCGGGCCUCAUACGGUCGUCCUUACCACCCCAACUGCUGCGAAACUGUUGGGGCACUCUGCAUGGGUACGUAUCAACAAUCUCAAACGGGCACCCACAGAUACUGAUUGGACUUCCCAGAUGGCAGGCCCCACCAAACUCCGCUUGGUUAGGGCCCCUUCUCAUAUUCCUUCUAAUCCAGACAAACCAGGUGGAACCAUGUGAGUCUAGCUGCACGAGGGGUUCAGGUACCUCUCGCUAUUUUUCGGCCUUUACUUAUAUGCCUGCAACCUGCUACCAGGGAAAGGAACCAACAACCUGUACAUAUGACCAGAAAACCUAUUGGGUCUCUGACCUCGUGACAGCCAAACGCGGUAUUGCCCCCUGCAACAUCUACCCCAGGUCUGGAAAAGUUUGCUGGACCUAUCUGGGUCAUGUCGGUCUCUCUGACGGG